GAAAGUGAGAGGUGGAGGCGGGUCUGUGCACAGAAAUGAAACCUAAAGUGGCUGUAGGGGCAGGAAAUGAAAGUGCGCCAGUGCAGCCUGUUCAGACAAACAGCAGACGGACAAACGCCUGGAAACACAGCGAGGACACACAGACUCUGGGCAGCCACAUGAGGACCAAGAUGAACAAGCUGCUGUUAGUUCCUGUGGUGCUGGGAAUCAUAUCAGCCCUGGGGGACACUACAACAACUCCUCCCACAACUACUACCACCUCUGAAUGGACAACAGUGUCACUCCUGUGUGUCUUCUUCUUCAUACCGACUGUAAACAGGCUGUGGAAAUGUCAGGUCAUUCUGGGCUAAAUCUAAAUGGAAAGAUGUUCACUUUGUCUUUUAACGGAGGAGGAAUAUCCUUCUACCCGUCCCAUUACUCACCAAAAAAGCAACACCCCACCUCCACCCCCUACUGGACCACCACCAACCCCUACACGACCGCCUCACCGUAUACUCGAGGUGUGUCCGUGUGUGUGUGUUACAUCACCGACUGGUCUGUGCAAAGUUUCUCAUUCUUCACACUCAGUCCAUCCACAACUCCUCUCAGCCUGGGAGCCAGUUCCAGCAAUUCCUAUUGGCUGUCCUAUGGCAAAUACGGUUCUAUGACACAGUCUUUCCGCCCGAACAUAUGGUUCUUUACAGACCUUGGGUUGGACAUCUGGACCAGGGUCUGCGUCACUGUGGACUCCAUGAAGAACACGACCCAGAUGUUUGUGGGCCCAUACAUGAGCAUCAAGAAGCUGCUGCCCGGGAAGUAUGUGUGGUCAGGUGAGCCCAGUGAUUCAAUUUUCAGGUUUCGAUGGUCAGCUGACCAACAUCCAGGUGUGGGAUUAUCCUCUUCCCUACAAUGAAGUCUACAGCUACAUGGCCAGUGCUUAUACGCCGUACACGGGCUCAGUCCUCACGUGGUCCUCCAUCAGCUACUUUGCCAGAGGUAACGUGCUACUGGAUGACGUCUAUAGGUGGCAGGAAAAACAGCCAAUCAGCAGACAGGGGCAAAGACGCCGACUGAAGAACAAGAAGAAGCACAUGGAGGAAAAUAUAGAGAGCCAGAGACAGCAGCUUUAAUGAAACAUGCAGAGACAUGUAGGAAAAGCUGUGUCCUCUUCACAAUCAGCUUGAGAAACCAUCACCAAUCA
This 1180-nucleotide long non-coding RNA is filed under the name Mastacembelus armatus (zig-zag eel). Its description in RNAcentral is "lncRNA (ENSMAMG00000028697.1)". Lineage: Eukaryota; Metazoa; Chordata; Actinopteri; Synbranchiformes; Mastacembelidae. The record is from RNAcentral.